This 253-nucleotide ribosomal RNA is filed under the name uncultured bacterium. RNAcentral describes it as "partial 16S ribosomal RNA". It matches the Rfam family "Bacterial small subunit ribosomal RNA", at positions 524 to 776 of the family's 1533-position model. The record is from RNAcentral.
UACAGAGGGUGCGAGCGUUAAUCGGAAUUACUGGGCGUAAAGCGUGCGCAGGCGGUUGUGCAAGACAGAUGUGAAAUCCCCGGGCUCAACCUGGGAACUGCAUUUGUGACUGCACGGCUGGAGUGCGGCAGAGGGGGAUGGAAUUCCGCGUGUAGCAGUGAAAUACGUAGAUAUGCGGAGGAACACCGAUGGCGAAGGCAAUCCCCUGGGCCUGCACUGACGCUCAUGCACGAAAGCGUGGGGAGCAAACAGG